GAUGAACGCUGGCGGCGUGCCUAAUACAUGCAAGUCGAGCGAACAGACGAGGAGCUUGCUCCUCUGACGUUAGCGGCGGACGGGUGAGUAACACGUGGAUAACCUACCUAUAAGACUGGGAUAACUUCGGGAAACCGGAGCUAAUACCGGAUAAUAUAUUGAACCGCAUGGUUCAAUAGUGAAAGACGGUUUUGCUGUCACUUAUAGAUGGAUCCGCGCCGCAUUAGCUAGUUGGUAAGGUAACGGCUUACCAAGGCAACGAUGCGUAGCCGACCUGAGAGGGUGAUCGGCCAAACUGGAACGGAGACACGGUCCAGACUCCUACGGGAGGCAGCAGUAGGGAAUCUUCCGCAAUGGGCGAAAGCUUGACGGAGCAACGCCGCGUGAGUGAUGAAGGUCUUCGGAUCGUAAAACUCUGUUAUUAGGGAAGAACAAAUGUGUAAGUAACUAUGCACGUCUUGACGGUACCUAAUCAGAAAGCCACGGCUAACUACGU
This 496-nucleotide ribosomal RNA is filed under the name uncultured bacterium. Its description in RNAcentral is "partial 16S ribosomal RNA". It matches the Rfam family "Bacterial small subunit ribosomal RNA", at positions 28 to 506 of the family's 1533-position model. The record is from RNAcentral.